Molecule: long non-coding RNA, 314 nt
Filed under: Hordeum vulgare
Lineage: Eukaryota; Viridiplantae; Streptophyta; Magnoliopsida; Poales; Poaceae
Description: long non-coding RNA (HVUL_LNC011788)
Source: RNAcentral
UGCACUUUCAGAAACAAAACAGCAAGAGCAGCAAGCAUAUCCACCUCCAUCACAACAACUCUCCAGUCUUGGAGGCAAGCAGGAGCAGUUUUUCUAGAGCACCCGUUUGGGGAAAUUACGUGAGGAGUACGGCGUCUGUGCCAGGCUACCUUGUUUUCACCAUCUUUUUACGAGGUUUUCUUCCUGUUAUGUCAGGUUUUCUUCCUGUUAUGUCCUUUUUGAUCUUUUGAUCAACCCCACCCUUUUGUAUUCCCGCCUUGCUUCCUGCUAUCUAAAUAUAUGCCAGCCAGCAGCUGGAUCUUUCAAAAAAAAAA